UACCAGCACCCCGAGUGGUCGGGGCGAUUAUUGGGCCUAAAGCGUCCGUAGCCGGUUUUACAAGUCCCCCGUUAAAUCCAGCUGCUUAACAGAUGGGCUGCGGAGGAUACUAUAAGACUAGGAGGCAGGAGAGGCAAGCGGUACUCAGUGGGUAGGGGUAAAAUCCGUUGAUCCAUUGAAGACCACCAGUGGCGAAGGCGGCUUGCCAGAAUGCGCUCGACGGUGAGGGAUGAAAGCUGGGGGAGCAAACCGG
This 253-nucleotide ribosomal RNA is filed under the name uncultured bacterium. RNAcentral's name for it is "partial 16S ribosomal RNA". It matches the Rfam family "Archaeal small subunit ribosomal RNA", at positions 474 to 727 of the family's 1478-position model. The record is from RNAcentral.